This is a long non-coding RNA of Hydractinia symbiolongicarpus, 2150 nucleotides long. RefSeq lists it as uncharacterized. The transcript is spliced from 3 exons. The record is from RefSeq and is a predicted model, not a curated record. NCBI's taxonomy places the organism in Eukaryota, Metazoa, Cnidaria, Hydrozoa, Anthoathecata, Hydractiniidae.
CAGUCAUGUGUUUCAAAAACAUACAGAGGCCUGCAAGGGAUGAAUGAUAUUAAGCGAGGAGGAAAGAUCAAAACCGAAAACCAACCUGCUGAAUAAAAAAAUGCAAAACUCCUACUAGAGCUAGCAACCCACAAGGAGCAAUUAUCCAUAUCCAGGAUGUUAUUAGUGCUUUGGACUCAAUGCACUUGCUCCUGUUGCUAUUUUUUUAACAAGUUUAAUUUUGUGGGAGAAAUUCUUCGCACCCCAGAGGAUCCAAUUGCGUACACCCUGAAGUGGGGCGAAGUUUUUUUUGGUUUACAGGACGUGCGCCAGGGACCUGACAACACAUAACACACACAUAGAUUUAAGAACCACACAAAUGGCUCGCUGACCCUGUGAUCUCACAGUCAUGCACUGCGAGACGAUAAUGAUGAAUGUUCGUUUUGAUAUAACUCGUUCACUUUCACGCAAAUUAUUACUUCUGGAGUAAAAAAUUAAAAUAAAAAAUUCGGUGAAGAGGAAUUCCCUUUUGUCUUGUUUUUGAUAAUAUAAAACUACUAGUUAAAUAAGAUGAAGCUGAGACUAACCUUAACCCUAACGCUAACCCUAACCCUAACCCUACAACGAAUUUUAUUAAAUUAGCGAAGAACCAACCGGAAACUCCGAUUUAAUGUACAAACACGAGUGCUUACUCUCUUUCAACAUCCUAAAAAUACAUGUCCAACCAUUAAAUACACUAGUUUCCUUGUCAAUAAUUUUAACAUCGGAACGUUGAUGGAAAUUAAAAUGAAAAACAUCUUCUGCUGAUAUUGGAUAUUUGUUGUUAUUGCUGAAUAAACCUUGUCCAACAACAGUAAUCCCCUCUUAUCCACCCUUUCAUCAGCAAUAACGUCAUUCACAAUAAACAGGACCUCACAACCUGCCAAUUUCCUUAGAAAACCAAUAACUUUAAACAACUUAUUAUCGGGUUAGGUAGUUGUGACUUGUUGGUAGUUAGAUGGUUAGAGAGUUGUGAUUUGUUAGCAUCUAGUUGGUUAGGUAGUUUUUAUUUGCUGGUAGCUCGGUGGACAGGUAGUUGUGAUUUGUUAGUAUCUAGUUGGUUAGGUAGUUGUGAUUUGUUAGUAUCUAAUUGGUUAGGUAGUUUUGAUUUGCUGGUAGCUCGGUGGAUAGGUAGUUGUGAUUUGUUAGUAUCUAGUUGGUUAGGUAGUUUUGAUUUGCUGGUAGCUCGGUGGACAGGUAGUUGUGAUUUGUUAGUAUCUAGUUGGUUAGGUAGUUGUGAUUUGUUAGUAUCUUGUUGGUUAGGUAGUUUUGAUUUGCUAGUAGCUCGGUGGAUAGGUAGUUGUGAUUUGUUAGUAUCUAGUUGGUUAGGUAUUUGUGAUUUGUUAGUAUCUAGUUGGUUAGGUAGUUGUGAUUUGUUAGUAUCUAGUUGGUUAGGUAAUCGUGAUCUUGAUGUGCGGUAGUUGAUUAGAUGGUUUUUUAAUAAUUGAGUAUUUAAAUUUGUUUGUUAAUGCCUGGUUGUUUGGUGGAUUUUUGUAUGUUUUUGAAAAUUUUGAAGGUUAAUCAGAAUUAUGGAAGGUUUAGUUGAUGGUUGCGGUGUAGAUAGUUGUGUUGGCUUGAAACGUGAAAUAUUGAUUGCCUGUGUUAGUGGCGGUGGUACAAAAAAAAUAUCUCGGUAAAUAUUAUACGGAGGAACAGAUUGGUGCCUUGUCGUUUGUUGAUGUUGAAAAAUCGGUUGUUGUGCGAAAAAUAUAGAGAAGAGAGAUUCUAAUCCAAGAAAAUCUAAUCCAAUUUACAAAACGGAUUACAAAGAUCCCUAAGUAAAUUAGUGAAGUUAAGGAACUUCAGAAUAACCUCCAUCAUACCAGUGAAUUAAGUAUUGCUAGUGCAAUGUUGUUGAAGUUGUUAAGGUCCCUGCGCCGAAUUUAGGUAAAGUGCAUUAUAGUGACCCCGUCAAGUUGUUUGGGAUUUUUGGUGCGUCCAUAUUUACGAAAGAUUCUUUUCUCAAGCAGAAGAUUAUUUCUGCAAAUAUUUAAGUAAUAAAAUGUUAAUUUAUUCUGGUUGUAUGACUGUGGAUCACUAACAUGAUUUUAAUGAGGACUUAGUUAGAAAGUCAUAUAGCGAGACGGGAUGGAUGAAAGUAGGGUCAAGAAGAUUAUUGCUGAUAAGCCAAC